This 497-nucleotide ribosomal RNA is filed under the name uncultured bacterium. Its description in RNAcentral is "partial 16S ribosomal RNA". It matches the Rfam family "Bacterial small subunit ribosomal RNA", at positions 28 to 507 of the family's 1533-position model. The record is from RNAcentral.
GAUGAACGCUGGCGGCGUGCCUAAUACAUGCAAGUAGAACGCUGAAGGAAGGAGCUUGCUCUUUCCGGAUGAGUUGCGAACGGGUGAGUAACGCGUGGGUAACCUGCCUGUUAGCGGGGGAUAACUAUUGGAAACGAUAGCUAAUACCGCAUAACAGUAGAUGUUGCAUGAUAUCUGCUUAAAAGGUGCAAUUGCACCACUACCAGAUGGACCUGCGUUGUAUUAGCUAGUUGGUGAGGUAACGGCUCACCAAGGCGACGAUACAUAGCCGACCUGAGAGGGUGAUCGGCCACACUGGGACUGAGACACGGCCCAGACUCCUACGGGAGGCAGCAGUAGGGAAUCUUCGGCAAUGGACGGAAGUCUGACCGAGCAACGCCGCGUGAGUGAAGAAGGUUUUCGGAUCGUAAAGCUCUGUUGUAAGAGAAGAACGAGUGUGAGAGUGGAAAGUUCACACUGUGACGGUAUCUUACCAGAAAGGGACGGCUAACUACGUG